AUGGCUGAAAGUGUUCUGGAGCUGCUGAUGUCCAGCGCGCUGGGUUACCUCUGCAAAAAGGAACAAAAAAGGAAGAAAAAAGCACCAGAAGAAAGGACAACAGAGCUUCAGCACAGAGGUAACCAAAAAUUGGCGAAUAUGGGAGGGUGGUUUACCCGUCAGGAGGGAAUUACUCCAAAAAUCAAACAAACAGCUGAAGCUAUCUCUCGACUUUUACAAGAACAGAGUAUAACCGUAGAAGAAAGUAAGUUAUGGGACUUGUUAUAUUGGAUUUCCUUGCAUGAACCUGCAUUACCUCUAGCUGGACCUUACCAAGUAUCAUCUUGGAGGAAAAUAGGGAACAAGGUUAUUGAAAAAGCCAGUGAAGGAAAAACAGACGCCCUCAAGAAUUUGGCUACAUGGAAAGACAUAAUGAUAGCCUUGAAUAAGCACUACAGAAAGGCAAAUGCACCCGGGAGAGGGACUCCUCCCCCCCUCACUCCUUUCCCCUCAACCCCCCCCCUCAACCCAGCCCCCACGACCGAGUGGCCCCGCGGGGGGGAUUACUUUGGCCAGGAGGAUGGGGGGGAACGGGGAGCCCUGGGGGGAACAGUGCAGUGGCGGCGUGUGGUGUGGAGAGCAUGGUUGGGGGCUGGCAGCAUGAGCAUGGCAGUGGGGGGGAAUUCUGGCUUUAUGCCAGCGCCCAUGGCUGCAGUUGACACCAUGCCAUACAGAGCAGCAAGCAGUGCUGCUGGAGCCGAGGACCGUUACAGAGCAGCGCCUACCCCUAGACUGUUACGGGGUGACCGUUACACAGCAGUUGCACAGUCAACGUGCAGAAGGAGAGUGGCACCGGAGGCACCGCCAUGUUGCCCCUGCCGUGCGCCGGAAGUGAAGCCGCCACCCCCAGGUUCAGGCAUUUCGCCGGGAAGGGGGGAGGAUGACUGUGACGGACAAAUAGAUGAGGAGUCUAUAGAGGACACAGAAGAGAAUCUGCUAGCUCCCUUUAGCCAGGGCGGUCCACUAACACCCUUUGGCUGCCCAGCAGCCAUGAGACCGCUGCAGAACAACCAUGCAGCAACAUGGACACAGCAAGCUUACUCCGGCCAUGAGGUGGAAGUGAAAGCACCUCUUCUGUCACCACCAGUUCAACCAACUCACAACAAAUGCACAACAGUUGAAACAUCACUGUGGCUCUCCUACCAAGAAACCAACCCACAGCCCUCACCAGCCUCAGAACAGCUUCUAUGCCAAAGAUGGCCUGAUAGAGGAGGAAGAAGAGAUAUUUACUCCCUAGAAAGCUUAGCUGAGCUAUGGCAAACUGAACUUAGCGAGACAAGAGAACCAGAAAGAAGACAAGCAGUUUUGAAUCCUGUAAAAGAAGAAGAACAGCAAACAUGGUUACAGCUAGUACUUCAGCUCGAGGAAGAAGAUGCAGACUGGGAAAGCACACAGAACAUCUGCCUACCCAAGCCCAAACCAUCAGCAAAGUCAAAACUACCGACGUUGAAGUGGACAGCAUGUGUACUGACUGCGUUGCUGGCGAUGACAGCUGUUGGUUUUGUACUGCGAGAAUUUCAGCUGGGACAACACCAUCCACCUCCUGACAGAACCAACAACCUAGAGGUAGCAUUGCAAAACACAGCAGACAUACAGCUAUCAACUACCAUGUUUAAUUUUCUAAGUCACAAAAGGACAACUUUACUAAUUGACAGAUUAUCUGCUAUUAUAAAAAGUUCUUUUGUGUUACAGGGGGUAAGAAUAAUAAUAAGAGGGGCCCCAAAUCAAGUAUUUACUUCUCACUAUUUUAAAAUGCUGUUAGACAAUAUGCCAUACACAACAUGGAAAGCCAAACUUAAACAAGUAGCAAACAAACAACCAGUUACAAUUUCUACUGCAGAAACACAUAACUCUUUAUACACAGUCACUGCAAGAGCCUUGAGAAAGCAAAACAAACAAAACCCUCAUACAAUAGAAGCCCAAAGAUGCUCCACAAAGUUGCAACAUACAACAAUACAACAAUACCUCUAA
Long non-coding RNA from Manacus vitellinus (golden-collared manakin), 2010 nucleotides. Lineage: Eukaryota; Metazoa; Chordata; Aves; Passeriformes; Pipridae. The record is from Ensembl.